UACGAAGGGGGGCUAGCGUUGUUCGGAAUUACUGGGCGUAAAGCGCGCGCAGGCGGUCCUUUAAGUCAGGGGUGAAAGCCCAGAGCUCAACUCUGGAACUGCCUUUGAAACUAGAGGACUUGGGUACGGGAGAGGUGAGUGGAAUUCCGAGUGUAGAGGUGAAAUUCGUAGAUAUUCGGAAGAACACCAGUGGCGAAGGCGGCUCACUGGCCCGUUUACCGACGCUCAGGCGCGACAGCGUGGGAGGCAAACAGG
This 255-nucleotide ribosomal RNA is filed under the name uncultured bacterium. Its description in RNAcentral is "partial 16S ribosomal RNA". It matches the Rfam family "Bacterial small subunit ribosomal RNA", at positions 524 to 776 of the family's 1533-position model. The record is from RNAcentral.